Molecule: ribosomal RNA, 292 nt
Filed under: uncultured bacterium
Lineage: Bacteria
Description: partial 16S ribosomal RNA
Source: RNAcentral
GGACUACCGGGGUAUCUAAUCCUGUUUGCUCCCCUAGCUUUCGCGCCUCAGCGUCAGUCACAGCCCAGUUAACCGUCUUCACCACCGGUGUUCUUCCACAUAUCUACGCAUUUCACCGCUACACGUGGAAUUCCGUUAACCCUAACUGUACUCUAGUCCGUAAGUUUCAAAUGCAGCUCCGGGGUUGAGCCCCGGAAUUUCACAUCUGACUUUACUGACCGCCUACGCGCCCUUUACGCCCAGUAAUUCCGAUCAAUGCUUGCACCCUCCGUAUUACCGCGGCUGCUGGCAC